Molecule: ribosomal RNA, 514 nt
Filed under: uncultured bacterium
Lineage: Bacteria
Description: bacterial SSU rRNA
Rfam family: Bacterial small subunit ribosomal RNA
Source: RNAcentral
CUUAGCAGAGAUGCUUUGGUGACCUUCGGGAACUCUGAGACAGGUGCUGCAUGGCUGUCGUCAGCUCGUGUUGUGAAAUGUUGGGUUAAGUCCCGCAACGAGCGCAACCCUUAUCCUUUGUUGCCAGCGGUCCGGCCGGGAACUCAAAGGAGACUGCCAGUGAUAAACUGGAGGAAGGUGGGGAUGACGUCAAGUCAUCAUGGCCCUUACGAGUAGGGCUACACACGUGCUACAAUGGCGCAUACAAAGAGAAGCGACCUCGCGAGAGCAAGCGGACCUCAUAAAGUGCGUCGUAGUCCGGAUUGGAGUCUGCAACUCGACUCCAUGAAGUCGGAAUCGCUAGUAAUCGUGGAUCAGAAUGCCACGGUGAAUACGUUCCCGGGCCUUGUACACACCGCCCGUCACACCAUGGGAGUGGGUUGCAAAAGAAGUAGGUAGCUUAACCUUCGGGAGGGCGCUUACCACUUUGUGAUUCAUGACUGGGGUGAAGUCGUAACAAGGUAGGCGUAGUGCU